This is a long non-coding RNA of Solanum tuberosum (potato), 599 nucleotides long. RefSeq lists it as uncharacterized. The transcript is spliced from 2 exons. Lineage: Eukaryota; Viridiplantae; Streptophyta; Magnoliopsida; Solanales; Solanaceae. The record is from RefSeq and is a predicted model, not a curated record.
UAUAUUUGAUCUUCCAUCAAACAAGAAAAUGAACCCAACACAAUUUUAACUUUGUUAAUUACAAUUAGCAUGGCUAAGAUGUACUUAUCUCACAAGCUCUCUUUCUUCUUUUGUAUUCUCCUUGUUUCACUUGUUGUUAGUUCAUCAUUUUGGUCCUCAAACUCUCAUCAAGUGAUGGCUUUGAGAAACAUACAUUUUGAAGAAGAAAUACAAGUGAUUGAGCAAAUUAUAAAGCCUUUUGUAUCUGCAUGUGGCAAAUCUUGUACAUCUCAUGAAUAUUGCCAAAUUUUUAAACGUUCACUUUGUACACAAUGUCGAAUGAGGACUAAAAAAUCCCGCACAUGGUCAUGCAACCGAUGGAAAUAAUAAUCCGACGACGAUAUAAAAAAAUACUGGAAUUAACUACGAACGAACUUCCUCUAGUUCAUGGAAGAGGCACCAACAACUUGCUAUCAUAUAUCUUUAUGUACUUAAUUAUGUCUUUUUACUUUCUUUUGAUCGAGUUGAGUUUCAUACUAUAGUGUGGUUGAUAUGUUGUUGAAUAACUCGUUGCUAAUGUAUUGGUGUUUAAUUAUAAAAUUUGUCUUUUUUACGUUUUA